This 425-nucleotide unclassified non-coding RNA is filed under the name plant metagenome. Its description in RNAcentral is "partial contains 5.8S ribosomal RNA, internal transcribed spacer 2, and large subunit ribosomal RNA". It matches the Rfam family "Bacterial small subunit ribosomal RNA", at positions 358 to 777 of the family's 1533-position model. The record is from RNAcentral.
GGAAUCUUCCGCAAUGGACGAAAGUCUGACGGAGCAACGCCGCGUGAGUGAAGAAGGUUUUCGGAUCGUAAAGCUCUGUUGCCAGGGAAGAACGUCUUCUAGAGUAACUGCUAGGAGAGUGACGGUACCUGAGAAGAAAGCCCCGGCUAACUACGUGCCAGCAGCCGCGGUAAUACGUAGGGGGCAAGCGUUGUCCGGAAUUAUUGGGCGUAAAGCGCGCGCAGGCGGCUGUUUAAGUCUGGUGUUUAAUCCUGGGGCUCAACUCCGGGUCGCACUGGAAACUGGACGGCUUGAGUGCAGAAGAGGAGAGUGGAAUUCCACGUGUAGCGGUGAAAUGCGUAGAGAUGUGAAGAACACCAGUGGCGAUGGCGGCUCACUGGACCGGUAUUGACGCUGAGGUGCGAAAGCGUGGGGAGCAAACAGGA